Molecule: ribosomal RNA, 523 nt
Filed under: uncultured bacterium
Lineage: Bacteria
Description: bacterial SSU rRNA
Rfam family: Bacterial small subunit ribosomal RNA
Source: RNAcentral
AUUGAACGCUGGCGGCAGGCUUAACACAUGCAAGUCGAGCGGGGAGAUGUAGCUUGCUACAUUUCCUAGCGGCGGACGGGUGAGUAAUGCUUAGGAAUCUGCCUAUUAGUGGGGGACAACAUUCCGAAAGGAAUGCUAAUACCGCAUACGUCCUACGGGAGAAAGCAGGGGAUCUUCGGACCUUGCGCUAAUAGAUGAGCCUAAGUCAGAUUAGCUAGUUGGUGGGGUAAAGGCCUACCAAGGCGACGAUCUGUAGCGGGUCUGAGAGGAUGAUCCGCCACACUGGGACUGAGACACGGCCCAGACUCCUACGGGAGGCAGCAGUGGGGAAUAUUGGACAAUGGGCGCAAGCCUGAUCCAGCCAUGCCGCGUGUGUGAAGAAGGCCUUUUGGUUGUAAAGCACUUUAAGCGAGGAGGAGGCUACUUGGAUUAAUACUCUAGGAUAGUGGACGUUACUCGCAGAAUAAGCACCGGCUAACUCUGUGCCAGCAGCCGCGGUAAUACAGAGGGUGCGAGCGUUAAU